AACGUAGGACGCAAGCGUUAUCCGGAGUUACUGGGCGUAAAGGGCGUGCAGGCGGGGCGCUAAGUUCGCCGUGAAAGGUCCCGGCUCAACCGGGGAUGGUCGGGGGAGACUGGCGCGCUGGAGGGCGGUAGAGGAGCAGGGAAUUCCGGGUGUAGUGGUGAAAUGCGUAGAGAUCCGGAGGAACACCAGUGGCGAAGGCGCUGCUCUGGGCCGCAGCUGACGCUGAGACGCGACAGCAUGGGGAGCGAACGGG
This 253-nucleotide ribosomal RNA is filed under the name uncultured bacterium. RNAcentral's name for it is "partial 16S ribosomal RNA". It matches the Rfam family "Bacterial small subunit ribosomal RNA", at positions 524 to 776 of the family's 1533-position model. The record is from RNAcentral.